This 675-nucleotide ribosomal RNA is filed under the name uncultured Chitinimonas sp. RNAcentral describes it as "bacterial SSU rRNA". It matches the Rfam family "Bacterial small subunit ribosomal RNA", at positions 60 to 732 of the family's 1533-position model. The record is from RNAcentral. Lineage: Bacteria; Pseudomonadati; Pseudomonadota; Betaproteobacteria; Neisseriales; Chitinibacteraceae.
AGUCGAACGGAUCUAGGGGCUUGCUCCUAGGUUAGUGGCGAACGGGUGAGUAAUGCAUCGGAACGUACCGUGUAGUGGGGGAUAACCCGGCGAAAGUCGGAUUAAUACCGCAUACGAUCUAAGGAUGAAAGCGGGGGCUCGCAAGACCUCGCGCUAUACGAGCGGCCGAUGUCGGAUUAGCUAGUUGGUAGGGUAAAGGCCUACCAAGGCAACGAUCCGUAGCGGGUCUGAGAGGAUGAUCCGCCACACUGGGACUGAGACACGGCCCAGACUCCUACGGGAGGCAGCAGUGGGGAAUUUUGGACAAUGGACGAAAGUCUGAUCCAGCCAUGCCGCGUGAGUGAAGAAGGCCUUCGGGUUGUAAAGCUCUUUUGUCCGGGAGCAAAUCCUGAUUUCUAAUACAAAUCGGGGAUGAGAGUACCGGAAGAAUAAGGACCGGCUAACUACGUGCCAGCAGCCGCGGUAAUACGUAGGGUCCAAGCGUUAAUCGGAAUUACUGGGCGUAAAGGGUGCGCAGGUGGUUAUGUAAGUCUGAUGUGAAAUCCCCGGGCUCAACCUGGGAACUGCAUUGGAGACUGUGUAACUAGAGUGUGGCAGAGGGGGGUGGAAUUCCGCGUGUAGCAGUGAAAUGCGUAGAGAUGCGGAGGAACACCGAUGGCGAAGGCAGCCCCCUGG